This is a long non-coding RNA of Sphaeramia orbicularis (orbiculate cardinalfish), 127 nucleotides long. RefSeq lists it as uncharacterized. The record is from RefSeq and is a predicted model, not a curated record. NCBI's taxonomy places the organism in Eukaryota, Metazoa, Chordata, Actinopteri, Kurtiformes, Apogonidae. The transcript is spliced from 3 exons.
CAGGAGAGUCCAGAAGAGACCAGGAAGUCCAGGAGAGUCCAGGAGAGUCCAGGAGAGUCCAGAAGAGUCCAGGAGAGUCCAGGAGAGUCCAGAGGAGUCUAGAAGAGUCCAGGAGAGUCCAGAAGAG